UGUAGUUGUCCCCAUUCACAGGUUGUUCUUGAACAGGAGACUGAGAGAAGCAAGUGGAUUAACUUCAAAUUGCUUCCUGCUAAGGUAGGUUGAUAAUUUCAGGUGAGUGCUGCUCCUU
This is a long non-coding RNA of Hibiscus syriacus, 118 nucleotides long. RefSeq lists it as uncharacterized. The transcript is spliced from 2 exons. NCBI's taxonomy places the organism in Eukaryota, Viridiplantae, Streptophyta, Magnoliopsida, Malvales, Malvaceae. The record is from RefSeq and is a predicted model, not a curated record.